GCGGAAACGUUUCGCUCGCUGUCAAAUCGGGACUUAGUGCAAUUUGAAUUCUGGUGGUCAGAGGAGUUGAAAUGGUGAAGCUAAACCGACGCUAAAGUGAACCCAGCGCGCCACGGAACUCGGUCCGGCUUGAAAGAUGCCCACGGCAAGCGCCUCGUCAUGGGUGAAGUUCUUCACCAAUGCCGGCGUCCCGUCGCAGGCGGCCGCCGAG
Culex quinquefasciatus (southern house mosquito) is the source of this 211-nucleotide long non-coding RNA. RefSeq lists it as uncharacterized. The transcript has 3 exons. NCBI's taxonomy places the organism in Eukaryota, Metazoa, Arthropoda, Insecta, Diptera, Culicidae. The record is from RefSeq and is a predicted model, not a curated record.